Molecule: ribosomal RNA, 457 nt
Filed under: uncultured soil bacterium
Lineage: Bacteria
Description: bacterial SSU rRNA
Rfam family: Bacterial small subunit ribosomal RNA
Source: RNAcentral
AGAACGAACGCUGGCGGCAUGCCUAAUACAUGCAGGUCGAACGAACACUUCGGUGUUAGUGGCGCACGGGUGCGUAACGCGUGGGAAUCUGCCCUUGGGUUCGGAAUAACAGUUGGAAACGACUGCUAAUACCGGAUGAUGACGAAAAGUCCAAAAGAUUUAUCGCCCAGGGAUGAGCCCGCGUAGGAUUAGCUAGUUGGUGAGGUAAAGGCUCACCAAGGCGACGAUCCUUAGCUGGUCUGAGAGGAUGAUCAGCCACACUGGGACUGAGACACGGCCCAGACUCCUACGGGAGCAGCAGUAGGAAUAUGGACAAUGGGCGCAAGCCUGAUCCAAGCAAAUGCCGCGUGAGUGAAUGAAACGGCCUUAGGGUUGUAAAAGCUUCUUUUAACCCGAGAUGAAUAAUGACAGUAUCGGAAGAAUAAAGCCCCCGGCUAACUCCGCGCCCAGCCGCGCC